GGCCACAAAGGACUCUUAAGAAAAUAGUUGCUCGGUUAAUUUACAAAAAGUCGUAACAACACGCGCCACUCAUAGGGCACCCUCCGGCCUGGCUACCAACACACACUAGACACAUUGUCAAGAGGAAGACCAUCGUCGAGGCAGUCCGCAAGAGUCAUGGUCAAGCCGGAAGCCGGAAGCACAUCACCUGUCUUAUAUAUUCAGCUAUGCUUGUUUUCCUUAACAUGUUGUACGUAAAUGAUUGUGACCUUGAUAAAUCUCUCUUAUAACACGAGAAAUAUAACACAAGACAUACUAAAAGACCAUCGUCGACGACAUAUGCUUGGGAGUGAGCUCCGCUGCUAUCCACAGCCUGGACAGUUCGGAGGCGGCAAACGUGGGCAACCGCCUGGGUUCUCUGCGAUGAUGUUCAAAGUACAUAUCAGGCCAUUUGGAACAGAGAGUACACUCGGCACGUAUUCCAGACAGAAAUAUGAACACAUGCAUGGGAACUUGAAGAGAAACGAAACAUGCAUGGGUACUUACGACGAGAAUCGCAGUUUGCAGGUGGACGUGGAACAAACCUUCCACCACGACCUGCAUGUCCACCGACGAUUAGCAGCAGUAACGUGAGGAUGGCAAGAAGCCGAGCAAGGAGGCGGCGACAGUUGGGUAGCAGCAUCUUCCCGGAUUCGCAGCGCUCUCCGUGUACGGCAGCCCGGCAAACCCAUACACAGAAAGGGAACGAUUCCAU
RNAcentral lists this long non-coding RNA (733 nucleotides) under Triticum aestivum (bread wheat). RNAcentral's name for it is "long non-coding RNA (TAES_LNC016528)". Lineage: Eukaryota; Viridiplantae; Streptophyta; Magnoliopsida; Poales; Poaceae. The record is from RNAcentral.